Molecule: long non-coding RNA, 149 nt
Filed under: Mustela putorius furo (domestic ferret)
Lineage: Eukaryota; Metazoa; Chordata; Mammalia; Carnivora; Mustelidae
Description: lncRNA (ENSMPUG00000029602.1)
Source: RNAcentral
CAGGGCUGCAAAUGCAGGGAAAGCAUCUUGAGGAAGAUGUGGGUGUUAAGAAGGUCUGGGAAGAGCAGAUUUACUUAUUUGAGAGGAAGAGUGAGCACAAGUCAGGGGAGGAGCAGAGGGAAAGAGUCUUCAAGCAGACUCCCUGUUGA